UACGGAGGGUGCAAGCGUUAUCCGGAUUCACUGGGUUUAAAGGGAGCGUAGGUGGGUUAGUAAGUCCGUGGUGAAAUCUCUGAGCUUAACUCGGAAACUGCCAUGGAUACUAUUAGUCUUGAAUAUUGUUGAGGUUAGCGGAAUAUGUCAUGUAGCGGUGAAAUGCUUAGAUAUGACAUAGAACACCAAUUGCGAAGGCAGCUGGCUAAACAUAUAUUGACACUGAGGCUCGAAAGCGUGGGGAUCAAACAGG
This 253-nucleotide ribosomal RNA is filed under the name uncultured bacterium. RNAcentral's name for it is "partial 16S ribosomal RNA". It matches the Rfam family "Bacterial small subunit ribosomal RNA", at positions 524 to 776 of the family's 1533-position model. The record is from RNAcentral.